GAGGACCACGAACAAGAAUGCCUGCUCAGCCUAGGAACAGUACAGGAAAUGGAGCUGUUGGGUGCCUGUUGUAGGAAGGGUCAGCAACUGAGAAUGCUCCUCUGACAUACUUUGUUCCUACUCACCCAAGGCUGCUGAGAUGUCCAUUGACCCAGAGAGUCAAAGUGUUUUCUCCACCGUGAGAUGAUUGAGAACUCAAAAUCUCCCAGUUUUCAGAUGCCUGCUCAAUACAUCAGCUGGAGAAUCCGACUUGCUUUGUCAAAAUGAAAUUGAACUAGAAACAGAGAUAAAAAUGAAGAGAGAAAGAGAGAGUUCAUAUUCUCUACUUCACUCCUUGAAUGUCCACAAUGACCAGGACUGGUCCAAGCCAAAGCCAGAAGCUGAGAACUCAAUCUGAGUGUCCCACAGGAGUGGCAGAGACAUAACUACUUAAAUGGCCACCUACCACCUCCUGGAAUGUGCAUUAUCCAAAAGCUGGAAGAAAGAGCAGAGCCAGAACUUGAACACAGACACUCAGAUAUGGAACACACACAGGCAUCCCAGCUGGUGGCUUCACUGCUAGACCAAAUGCCAACCCCUGAAUGUUCCUGGGAAAACUCAAAAUUAAGGCUGUGGCAACCUGGAGGACUUCCUGCAAGCAGCUGGACAGAAGAGUGCACUCACCUUGCCAAGGAGGCAGCAGGUGAUGACUCAAGUAACUGAGUUCCUGUCACUUACUUGGAAGACGUGGACUGAGUGCCUGGCUCCUGGCUUCAACCUGGCCUACCCCUGGCCAUUGUAGACAUUUGAGUUGUAAAUCAUUACAUGGAAGGUCUAAGUAAAUAAAUAAAUAAUUCCUUGUAUAUGUCUGAUUCUCUGAAUUAUAAUAUUUUAGCCUUUUUUCUAAAAAGUACAAUGUGUUUUUUUCUUUGUAAUAGAUUACCUCCAUACAUAGUGGCUUAAAACAACAGUUUCAUUAGCUCAUGAUUCUGUGAUCUGUCUAUUUGGGCUAUGUUAACCUUGGCAGUUCUUUUGCUAGUCUUCCCUGGGUUCCCUCACUUGGCUACACAUAGCUGAUGGGCUUGCUGGUUGGCCUUACUAUUCGACUGAUAUGUUGGCCAAAUCAGGAGAGAAUGUAGAAGGGACAUUUGAAUGAUACUGAUUCUUCUGAUCCAUGAGUAAUGAAUAUCUUUCCAUUUUUUGGUGUCCUUGAUGAUACCUUUCAUCAAAGUUUGAAAAUUUUCAUUGUAGACAUCUUUCACUUCUUUCCUUAAAUUUAUUCCUAAAUAUUUGGAUUUUUGGUGGCUAUUAUGAAUAGGAUUUCUUUCUUGAUUUCUCUUUCUGUGAGUUCAUCUUUAGCAUACCAAAAAUCUGUAUUUUUUGUAUGUUUAUAACCUGCAACUUUACUGAAUUGGUUUAUCAAUUCUAACAGCGUUUUGGUGGAGUGUUUAGGUUUUUCCAUGUACAACAUCAUAUCAUCUGCAAACAUGGAUAAUUUGAUUUCCUCUUUUCUAAUUUUGAUGUCCUUUAUUUCUUUCUCCUCCCUGACUGCUCUUGUAAAAAUUUCCAGUACUAUAUUGAAUAAGAGUGGUGAAAGUGGACAUCCUUGUCUUGUUCUAGAUCUGAAUGGAAAUGCUCUUUCAGUUUUCUCCCAGUCAGUAUGAUAUGGACUGUUGGCUUGUGAUAAAUAGCUUUUAUAAUUUUGAGGAAUGUUCCUCCUAUAUCUAAUUUGUGGAGGGUUUUCAUCAUGAAGAGGUGUUGAAUCUUAUCAAAUGCUUUUUUUUUUUUUUGCAUCUAUUGAGAUGACCACAUAGUUUUUGUUCUUCAUUCUAUUGAUGUGAUUUAAGACAUUUAUUCAUUUGUGAAUAUUGAACCACUCUUGCAUUUCUGGGAUAAAUCCCGCUUGAUCAUGAUAUAUGAUCGUUUUGAUGUGGUUUUAGAUUUGAUUUGCUACUAUUUUGUUGAGAAUCUUUACAUCUAUAUUCAUUAAGGCUGUAGAUCUGUAAUUUUCAUGUUGUGUCUUUGUUUAGUUUUAGUAUCAAAGUAAUGCUGGCCUCAUAAAAAGAGUUUGGUAGAAUUCCAUCCUGUUCAGUAUUUUGGAAUAGUUUGAAGAAUAUUGGAGUUACUUCCUUUUUGAAUGCUUUAUAUAAUUCAGUAAUAAAGCCAUCAGGUCCCAGACUUCUCCUUGAUGGAAGACAUUUUAAUUACUGUUUCAAUCUCAUUGCUUGUUAUGGGUCUGUUUAGAUUGUCUGUAUCUUCUUGAUUUAAUUUUGGUAGGUUACACGAAUUCAGGAAUUUAUUUUUUUUAGGUUUUCUAGUUUAUUAACAUUUAGUUCUUCAUAGUAGUUUCUUAUGACUCUUUGUAUGUUAGUGGUGUCAGUUGUAGUGCCUCCUUUUUCAUUUCUAAUUUUAUUUGCUUGAGUUUUUUCUCUUUUUUCCUUUGUUAACCUGACUAGAGGUUCAUCUUCUUUGUUCCUUGGGUGUGUAUAUUUGUUCCACAGAGUUCAGUGUCAGUCUCCCUGGCAAAUAGGAUAGCCAGGGCCUUGUUCUUGGUGCUGAGGGAGACAGGAGUGGCUGCCACUUUCCUACUAGCAAGCCUGAGUGAUGCUGGAGCUUGGGCACAGAUUACUGUGGCGUGGCUCUAGGACUGUGUGAUAUGGAUGGACCCUUCCUCAGGUCCUGCUAGGAGAGUCCAACUGGUGCUGUGGCUUCUAAUACCAACAGUACUAGUCCUAGGACCAGGGGGUGAGAGUUGGAUUCUGUUCCAGUCCUGCAGGGUGACUAUAAGAUAUAUAUACAGGAUAUUUUACCCUGGAGGGUAUGAGUCCAGAGAGGUGGAAUGCAGAUAAGUUCUUCCCUAUGUCCAGCAGGUAGAUUCCGGUGACACCAAGAAAUUUAGAACAAGUGGUUACAGCCCUGGUAUUGCAGGGUGUAGUGGGGUCAUUCACUGGAUCUCCCAGUGUGGGAGCAGAUUUUUUUAAUGGGUUGCUUCUAGUGUUAGCCCCCAGAAGCUAAGGCAAUGUAGAGUGUAUGAGUGUAGCUCUGUGGCUGCUGCCCCAAAACUUCCACAGUUGCAAUAUUCAGGGGAUCUGUCCUUUGCCCCACCUGCUACCCUGACUCUGUCUAUGGUGCUGGUAGGAGAACAGAGGUAUGCUGCCUGACUUUUGGCUGCCUAGUAUGGUGCUCUGCAGGAGUAGGGGAAGGGAAGGAAGCAAGUCUGCUCCCGGCUCCAAGCCCUAUAGUUUCUUGGACCCCAGUCAACUCACCAGGCUGAAGUAAUGUCCGUGAGUGACUGUGGAAUUCCCUCUCUGCUAAACUGCAAGUGAGAGGGCACACAGCAAUUUCUGCCUACUUUGACAUGGUAAGAUGGCGGCUCACAGUGGCAGCUGCCUAUGCCUCGUGGCUCACUGCUGUGGUGUCUCUGUCUUCUCUCCUCUUGUCCCACAGAGUCAUUGUGGGUUUUUUUGUUUGUUUUCUUCACUUCUACAUUGAAAAUUACACCAGUUGCUCCCCUGUAAACAUAGUCCUUCCUUUGUUUUCAUAUCCCAGAGCAGCUUAUGUUAGUGUGGCUGUACCCUAUUCAGCCAUCUUGGCAACACAGUGAAGCAAUAUUGAUAACUAUAUACCAAAUGAUAUGCUAACCACAAGUUUUUAUGCUCUCUAUAUUAACAACCACAAAUAAGAGAAGAUGUGAUAUUUGUCUUUUUGGGUUUGGCAUAUUUCACUUAAAAAUUAGAAAAUACAGAGAAUAAAAAUGAAUAAAGGAAAAAGUCACCUAUAAUUUCACUGUCUUCAGAAAAAUCAUUGUUAACAUUUUCUAUAGUUUUCCCAGAAUUUUUAUAUGCAUAUUACUUCAGUCACUCAUUUAUUUUUUCAUUCAACAAAUAGAUUUUGAGCUGCUUAUCCAAAAUUAGGUGUAGCUAGAUACAUCAGAGUCUAAAAAAAAGUCAUAUCCAUCCAGGAGAUUAUACUGUGAUAAGAAGACAGACUCAGAAAACUAUGAAGCAAUUAAACAUUUUUUCCACUUAUAAUAAUGGCUAUUAAAGGAAAAUAUGGUAUACUAGGAGAAUGUUUAACAAGAGAGCAUGGGUCUUAGAAAAAUGGUC
Oryctolagus cuniculus (rabbit) is the source of this 4085-nucleotide non-coding RNA. NCBI's taxonomy places the organism in Eukaryota, Metazoa, Chordata, Mammalia, Lagomorpha, Leporidae. The record is from RefSeq and is a predicted model, not a curated record.